RNAcentral lists this ribosomal RNA (253 nucleotides) under uncultured bacterium. RNAcentral's name for it is "partial 16S ribosomal RNA". It matches the Rfam family "Bacterial small subunit ribosomal RNA", at positions 524 to 776 of the family's 1533-position model. The record is from RNAcentral.
UACGUAGGGUGCAAGCGUUGUCCGGAAUUAUUGGGCGUAAAGAGCUCGUAGGCGGUCUGUCGCGUCUGCUGUGAAAAUCCAGGGCUCAACCCUGGACCUGCAGUGGGUACGGGCAGACUAGAGUGCGGUAGGGGAGAUCGGAAUUCCUGGUGUAGCGGUGAAAUGCGCAGAUAUCAGGAGGAACACCGGUGGCGAAGGCGGCUCUCUGGGCCUUUCCUGACGCUGAGACGCGAAAGCGUGGGGAGCGAACCGG